RNAcentral lists this ribosomal RNA (988 nucleotides) under Escherichia coli. Its description in RNAcentral is "partial 23S ribosomal RNA". It matches the Rfam family "Bacterial large subunit ribosomal RNA", at positions 165 to 1194 of the family's 2925-position model. Lineage: Bacteria; Pseudomonadati; Pseudomonadota; Gammaproteobacteria; Enterobacterales; Enterobacteriaceae. The record is from RNAcentral.
CAUAGGUUAAUGAGGCGAACCGGGGGAACUGAAACAUCUAAGUACCCCGAGGAAAAGAAAUCAACCGAGAUUCCCCCAGUAGCGGCGAGCGAACGGGGAGCAGCCCAGAGCCUGAAUCAGUGUGUGUGUUAGUGGAAGCGUCUGGAAAGGCGCGCGAUACAGGGUGACAGCCCCGUACACAAAAAUGCACAUGCUGUGAGCUCGAUGAGUAGGGCGGGACACGUGGUAUCCUGUCUGAAUAUGGGGGGACCAUCCUCCAAGGCUAAAUACUCCUGACUGACCGAUAGUGAACCAGUACCGUGAGGGAAAGGCGAAAAGAACCCCGGCGAGGGGAGUGAAAAAGAACCUGAAACCGUGUACGUACAAGCAGUGGGAGCCUCUUUAUGGGGUGACUGCGUACCUUUUGUAUAAUGGGUCAGCGACUUAUAUUCUGUAGCAAGGUUAACCGAAUAGGGGAGCCGAAGGGAAACCGAGUCUUAACUGGGCGUUAAGUUGCAGGGUAUAGACCCGAAACCCGGUGAUCUAGCCAUGGGCAGGUUGAAGGUUGGGUAACACUAACUGGAGGACCGAACCGACUAAUGUUGAAAAAUUAGCGGAUGACUUGUGGCUGGGGGUGAAAGGCCAAUCAAACCGGGAGAUAGCUGGUUCUCCCCGAAAGCUAUUUAGGUAGCGCCUCGUGAAUUCAUCUCCGGGGGUAGAGCACUGUUUCGGCAAGGGGGUCAUCCCGACUUACCAACCCGAUGCAAACUGCGAAUACCGGAGAAUGUUAUCACGGGAGACACACGGCGGGUGCUAACGUCCGUCGUGAAGAGGGAAACAACCCAGACCGCCAGCUAAGGUCCCAAAGUCAUGGUUAAGUGGGAAACGAUGUGGGAAGGCCCAGACAGCCAGGAUGUUGGCUUAGAAGCAGCCAUCAUUUAAAGAAAGCGUAAUAGCUCACUGGUCGAGUCGGCCUGCGCGGAAGAUGUAACGGGGCUAAACCAUGCAC